Long non-coding RNA from Syzygium oleosum, 791 nucleotides. RefSeq lists it as uncharacterized. The transcript is spliced from 2 exons. Lineage: Eukaryota; Viridiplantae; Streptophyta; Magnoliopsida; Myrtales; Myrtaceae. The record is from RefSeq and is a predicted model, not a curated record.
AUUCUUGACUAUGAUAAGUAAAGAUAAGGAAAGCAAAUGAAUUUGAGACCGCCACUUUUAAUUGCAAUUGAAUGAGUGAGGACAAUUUUAUCUUGUUUUGGUGAAACCGGGUGGAUUUUUAAUAAUAUAAAGGCCACAAAACACAAAAGGCAUCCACUGAAGUCACAAAGCCUAGCUCUCUCAUCCCCUUCGUCUUCGCUCUAUCUCCUUCUUGCUUGCUUGCUUGCUUCUCUUGCGACACUCGAAACUCAAACCCAGUUCAUCCCCUCCCUGUCUCUCUCUCUCUCUCUCUCUCUCUCUCUGUAAGUACCCAAGAACUGGCUCUGUUUCCUCAUGUUAACGAUCUUGACGUUUUCGGCUCCGGUGUUCUCAAUUCUCUCUCGGUUUUGGAGCAGGUCCAUCGGUGCGGGAACUGGGCAAUGGUGAUGUUGGGCAUCGAGAGGCUGAUGGGGAGCUUGAAGUCGAAGCUGCGGUCGCUGAAGAUGAAGAAGCCGUUCUACGACAAGAUCGAGAAGAGCGACAGCAUGAGGGUGGAGAUCAGAAGCAGGAAGGCCCGCAAGAUCAUCGAGGAGACCCUCAAGAUCGCCGACUCUCCCAAGACCAAAAGCUACGCCUUUUGAAUCAUCCCCCUCCAGUAAUACUUCUUGUUGUUUCUUUGGCGAAGGAAUGUCGUGCUUCUUAUCAGUACGUAUAAAGAUUUCUCGAGGCCGUGAUUUUGCCCGACUCGAAUUCGAGCUUCGCGCGACGUUCAGGUUGCAAUAAGACGAAGCAUAAGAGUAGUUUUCUCUCGA